GGUCCGCCGCUGAGAGGAGAGCGUCGGCUUCUCAAAUUCCUCUCUGGGGUUGUGAUACCACCCAUCGUUUUCUUCUUAGAAGAGGAAGGAUGGUAGGAGAAGGUACGACAAUUUGGGGGGCGGAGGAGGAGUUUGGGAAAGGGAGAGGCGCGGAGGAGUGGAAGCAUAUGAGAGAGGAGUUUCUGAAGAGGUUUCGACAGGGAAAGAAGUGGAGCAGUUUGGCUUCUCCGGGAGGAGACGAGACGGCCGGUUCCCGGUCGGCCAUUCAAACCGGCCACCGCGAGCCCUUCCUUCUUUGUACCUCUCGCCGUCCUCUCGCGCCGGUUCCCGUGGCUCGCACGAGUCAAAAAGGUCC
RNAcentral lists this long non-coding RNA (355 nucleotides) under Phoenix dactylifera (date palm). Its description in RNAcentral is "long non-coding RNA (PDAC_LNC014012)". The record is from RNAcentral. Lineage: Eukaryota; Viridiplantae; Streptophyta; Magnoliopsida; Arecales; Arecaceae.